This 253-nucleotide ribosomal RNA is filed under the name uncultured bacterium. Its description in RNAcentral is "partial 16S ribosomal RNA". It matches the Rfam family "Bacterial small subunit ribosomal RNA", at positions 524 to 776 of the family's 1533-position model. The record is from RNAcentral.
UACGUAGGGUGCGAGCGUUACUCGGAAUUACUGGGCGUAAAGCGUGCGCAGGCGGUUUUGUAAGCCCGAUGUGAAAUCCCCGGGCUUAACCUGGGAAUGGCAUUUGGGACUGCAAGGCUGGAGUGUGGCAGAGGAGACUGGAAUUCCUGGUGUAGCAGUGAAAUGCGUAGAUAUCAGGAGGAACACCGAUGGCGAAGGCAGGUCUCUGGGCCACUACUGACGCUGAGAAGCGAAAGCGUGGGGAGCGAACAGG